GAUGAACGCUGGCGGCGUGCCUAAUACAUGCAAGUCGAGCGAACGGACGAGAAGCUUGCUUUUCUGAUGUUAGCGGCGGACGGGUGAGUAACACGUGGAUAACCUACCUAUAAGACUGGGAUAACUUCGGGAAACCGGAGCUAAUACCGGAUAAUAUUUUGAACCGCAUGGUUCAAAAGUGAAAGACGGUCUUGCUGUCACUCAUAGAUGGAUCCGCGCUGCAUUAGCUAGUUGGUAAGGUAACGGCUUACCAAGGCAACGAUGCAUAGCCGACCUGAGAGGGUGAUCGGCCACACUGGAACUGGGACACGGUCCAGACUCCUACGGGAGGCAGCAGUAGGGAAUCUUCCGCAAUGGGCGAAAGCCUGACGGAGCAACGCCGCGUGGGUGAUGAAGGUCUUCGGAUCGUAAAACUCUGUUAUUAGGGAAGAACAUAUGUGUAAGUAACUGUGCACAUCUUGACGGUACCUAAUCAGAAAGCCACGGCUAACUACGUG
This 497-nucleotide ribosomal RNA is filed under the name uncultured bacterium. Its description in RNAcentral is "partial 16S ribosomal RNA". It matches the Rfam family "Bacterial small subunit ribosomal RNA", at positions 28 to 507 of the family's 1533-position model. The record is from RNAcentral.